RNAcentral lists this unclassified non-coding RNA (220 nucleotides) under Hevea brasiliensis (rubber tree). Lineage: Eukaryota; Viridiplantae; Streptophyta; Magnoliopsida; Malpighiales; Euphorbiaceae. The record is from RNAcentral.
AAAGUCUCCUCCGACGAGUGCUUCGCCUUCACAUCAAAAUUUUCACUCAAAUAACUUUCCAUUUCCCUCAAUAACAAUGAAUUUGUUUUACUUCUACGACGUAUAAUAUAACCCCUUAAAGUGAUCCAGGUGACAAGGUAGAAAUUUCCUUGUUAUAUAUUAAAGAAAAGAGAGCUUCACUUCGACGAAGUUUCUAUCGUCAUUUCUUGGAAAACAAGUU